Long non-coding RNA from Antechinus flavipes (yellow-footed antechinus), 117 nucleotides. RefSeq lists it as uncharacterized. The record is from RefSeq and is a predicted model, not a curated record. Lineage: Eukaryota; Metazoa; Chordata; Mammalia; Dasyuromorphia; Dasyuridae. The transcript has 3 exons.
GUCUCUUCUGAGGACAUCACGUCAGAAGGGGCAACAAUCACCUUCAACAGCCGUUUCUGAGGAGACUACAUUAAGUCAAAGAAAAGGGGAACGAAUAUCAUCAAAGCCCACCCUGAG